RNAcentral lists this ribosomal RNA (432 nucleotides) under uncultured bacterium. RNAcentral describes it as "partial 16S ribosomal RNA". It matches the Rfam family "Bacterial small subunit ribosomal RNA", at positions 29 to 506 of the family's 1533-position model. The record is from RNAcentral.
AACGAACGCUGGCGGCAUGCCUAACACAUGCAAGUCGAACGAGACCUUCGGGUCUAGUGGCGCACGGGUGCGUAACGCGUGGGAACCUGCCCUUAGGUUCGGAAUAACUCCCCGAAAGGGGUGCUGAUACCGGAUAAUGUCUUCGGACCAAAGAUUUAUCGCCUUUGGAUGGGCCCGCGUUGGAUUAGCUAGUUGGUAGGGUAAAAGCCUACCAAGGCGACGAUCCAUAGCUGGUCUGAGAGGAUGAUCAGCCACACUGGGACUGAGACACGGCCCAGACCCCCACGGGGGGCAGCAGUGGGGAAUAUUGGAAAAUGGGCGAAAGCCUGAUCCAGCAAUGCCGGGGGAGUGAUGAAGGCCUUGGGGUUGUAAAGCUCUUUUACCCGGGAUGAUAAGGACAGUACCGGGAGAAUAAGCUCCGGCUAACUCCGU